UGGGAUUCCGCUGGAUUUGUUUUAGACGGCUAGUUUUAAAAGUCUUUAUUUAUUUCUUAAACUUUAUGCCCAGUCAAACAACUUCACAUAAAUUGAGACAGAGAGUAUAUUUAUCUGCUCAUGUGGAGCACUACAUUCUGCCAAUGACUCAUAUUUUCAACUUAUAUGUGGUCCAAUUUCAAGGGGCAUAUGAUAUGUCUUUUUCCUUGAAGUAAGUUCAUAACAGAAUUGAAAAACUAGUUUAUCCAAAAACCUAUAUUUAUCUGUUCAUGUGGAACACUACAUUCUGCCUUUUCAUGUGCUUUGCUGGUUGCUUUGCUAUCCUCUUUUUCUUCUCCUGAUUGUUGCAACAACUAAGCUUUUGGAAUUGGAUAGAUGGUGGAACUUUCUCUUGCCAUUGGUGAGUGCAGGCUGUUGUCUUACCAUUUUCUAUACCAUAAAGAAAAUACAUAAGAGUACAUCAAAGCUUAUAUAGGAAAUAUUGGAACACAUUAUUUAUCUGUUGUAUGGGCAGGAAAACUGGUUCUCCACCAUUUCUCUUUUCUGUAACAUCUGUGCUCCAUGCCAGGAACUCUGUUUAGUAUUGCUUUUCCUCUACCUUUAAUAAGUGAGUGUGGGGUGUAAUCUUGUUUAUUCUUAAUUUAAUACUUUCAAGUUUGACAAAUAUUGCAUGUAAUAGGUACAACAAGGUGAUGUUGGUGGAAGAAAUGAAGUUGUGCAAUCCAAUAUAAAAAGGACAGACAUGUGCAACGGCAUGCUGAAACAAAUGAGAUCUCAAAAACAACAUUGUUCAGAAGGCUGUUAUAACCUCUUCACUGCUUUCUCAUUGAAAUAUCUCAAGAGCUUGGAUGUGUGUGGGCUUAUCGCAUUUCAAAUCUUAGAUAGAAAGAAAGAGGUCGUGUUGUUCUGAAAUGGAGAAAUAUUCAUACUACAGCAGAGCUAUGAUUUUCUCCUUAAUACUUCUGGAAAAUAUAUGCUGCAGUAGCUGAAUGGGUCGAGGAAUGUGUUUGAUUUGCUCAUUCGCAGUUCUUAACAUGAGGGUAAAUUGUUCAUGAACACGUUUGUAAGUAACUAUGUUUUGUAACAGGUCAUUUUCCUGUAUACGUAUUAAAGUAUUCAAUUGAAUUUUUGGAGAAGUUAAGGUUCAAUAGUUCUUUUUAACUCUCUGCAUUUCUCCAUGCCCCUUUUUUAUCACCCCUUGAGCUUUCCUUUCUUGAUAAGCAGUAAAAGUGAAAGGAGAUAUGAAUCUACAGCUUAAAAAUCAUAUUAAUUGUCAUGGCUGGAAGAUUUAUAAAUUGGUUUUUCUAUUUGUCCUUUUUUGGGGUUAUUAUGUUCUUAACGGACAUGGAGACCUGCAGGAGAAAUGAAUCAGGGUGAUGCAGUACAGUUGUGGCUGCUCAGGUUCUUUGCUUGACAACAAAGGGAGUACUUGGUUUGCAUACCAAAAACCUACUUAUAUAGAUUUUGUAAAGUUUUUGCCUUAAAUUUUUAGCAAAAUCAAGGCUUCCUGAUGCCUCCUUUUAUCUCUAUUCUCCAUUGGUAAUCAUGAAAUGAAGUUGCAAUGCAUGUAAUGGAACUUUUGAUGCCAGCAAAUUGAAUUCAAUUUACUGCCUACACUUUCUUGAUCGCAAUCACGGGAUAUCUUUGCUGCAUUUUUUUCUCGUCCAUUAUUCAAAUCUUCAUAUUGCACAAGUGUAACUGAAUUAUAAAGCUGAGAACAUUCUAAGGUUGGGACUCAGUCCACAAUUUGAAUUGAGG
Molecule: long non-coding RNA, 1758 nt
Filed under: Nicotiana benthamiana
Lineage: Eukaryota; Viridiplantae; Streptophyta; Magnoliopsida; Solanales; Solanaceae
Description: long non-coding RNA (NBEN_LNC007619)
Source: RNAcentral